RNAcentral lists this ribosomal RNA (1369 nucleotides) under uncultured bacterium. Its description in RNAcentral is "bacterial SSU rRNA". It matches the Rfam family "Bacterial small subunit ribosomal RNA", at positions 28 to 1381 of the family's 1533-position model. The record is from RNAcentral.
GACGAACGCUGGCGGCGUGCCUAAUACAUGCAAGUAGAACGCUGAAGAGAGGAGCUUGCUCUUCUUGGAUGAGUUGCGAACGGGUGAGUAACGCGUAGGUAACCUGCCUUGUAGCGGGGGAUAACUAUUGGAAACGAUAGCUAAUACCGCAUAACAAUGGAUGACACAUGUCAUUUAUUUGAAAGGGGCAAUUGCUCCACUACAAGAUGGACCUGCGUUGUAUUAGCUAGUAGGUGAGGUAACGGCUCACCUAGGCGACGAUACAUAGCCGACCUGAGAGGGUGAUCGGCCACACUGGGACUGAGACACGGCCCAGACUCCUACGGGAGGCAGCAGUAGGGAAUCUUCGGCAAUGGGGGCAACCCUGACCGAGCAACGCCGCGUGAGUGAAGAAGGUUUUCGGAUCGUAAAGCUCUGUUGUAAGUCAAGAACGAGUGUGAGAGUGGAAAAUUCACACUGUGACGGUAGCUUACCAGAAAGGGACGGCUAACUACGUGCCAGCAGCCGCGGUAAUACGUAGGUCCCGAGCGUUGUCCGGAUUUAUUGGGCGUAAAGCGAGCGCAGGCGGUUUGAUAAGUCUGAAGUUAAAGGCUGUGGCUCAACCAUAGUUCGCUUUGGAAACUGUCAAACUUGAGUGCAGAAGGGGAGAGUGGAAUUCCAUGUGUAGCGGUGAAAUGCGUAGAUAUAUGGAGGAACACCGGCGGCGAAAGCGGCUCUCUGGUCUGUAACUGACGCUGAGGCUCGAAAGCGUGGGGAGCGAACAGGAUUAGAUACCCUGGUAGUCCACGCCGUAAACGAUGAGUGCUAGGUGUUGGAUCCUUUCCGGGAUUCAGUGCCGCAGCUAACGCAUUAAGCACUCCGCCUGGGGAGUACGACCGCAAGGUUGAAACUCAAAGGAAUUGACGGGGGCCCGCACAAGCGGUGGAGCAUGUGGUUUAAUUCGAAGCAACGCGAAGAACCUUACCAGGUCUUGACAUCCCGAUGCUAUUUCUAGAGAUAGAAAGUUACUUCGGUACAUCGGUGACAGGUGGUGCAUGGUUGUCGUCAGCUCGUGUCGUGGGAUGUUGGGUUAAGUCCCGCAACGAGCGCAACCCCUAUUGUUAGUUGCCAUCAUUCAGUUGGGCACUCUAGCGAGACUGCCGGUAAUAAACCGGAGGAAGGUGGGGAUGACGUCAAAUCAUCAUGCCCCUUAUGACCUGGGCUACACACGUGCUACAAUGGUUGGUACAACGAGUUGCGAGUCGGUGACGGCAAGCUAAUCUCUUAAAGCCAAUCUCAGUUCGGAUUGUAGGCUGCAACUCGCCUACAUGAAGUCGGAAUCGCUAGUAAUCGCGGAUCAGCACGCCGCGGUGAAUACGUUCCCGGGCCU